Molecule: ribosomal RNA, 406 nt
Filed under: uncultured bacterium
Lineage: Bacteria
Description: partial 16S ribosomal RNA
Rfam family: Bacterial small subunit ribosomal RNA
Source: RNAcentral
AUUGAACGCUGGCGGCAGGCCUAACACAUGCAAGUCGAACGAGUGGCGGACGGGUGAGUAAUGUCUGGGAAACCGCCCGACGGAGGGGGAUAACUACUGGAAACGGUAGCUAAUACCGCAUACCAUCGGAUGUGCCCAGAUGGGAUAAGCUAGUAGGUGGGGAAACGGCUCACCUAGGCGACGAUCCCUAGCUGGUCUGAGAGGAUGAUCAGCAAAACGGGAACUGAGACACGGUCCAGACUCGUACGGGAGGCAGCAGUGGGGAAUAUUGCAAAAUGAGCGAAAGCCUGAUGCAGCCAUGCCGCGUGUAUGAAGAAGGCCUUCGGUUUGUAAAGUACUUUCAGCGAGGAGGCGUUACUCGAAGAAAAAGCACCGGCUAACUACGUGCCAGCAGCCGCGGUAAUUC